RNAcentral lists this ribosomal RNA (505 nucleotides) under uncultured bacterium. RNAcentral describes it as "partial 16S ribosomal RNA". It matches the Rfam family "Bacterial small subunit ribosomal RNA", at positions 899 to 1397 of the family's 1533-position model. The record is from RNAcentral.
ACUCAAAUGAAUUGACGGGGGCCCGCACAAGCGGCGGAGCGCGUUGCUUAAUUCGAAGCAAAGCGAAGAACCUUACCCAGGCUUGACAUGCGAGAUGUAGGCGCCUGAAAGGGUGGCCCACCCGUAAAAUCGGGAACUCGUGCAGGUGUUGCAUGGCUGUCGUCAGCUCGUGCCGUGAGGUGUUGGCUUAAGUGCCGCAACGAGCGCAACCCCCGUCACAUGUUGCCACCAGGUAAUGCUGAGCACUCAUGUGAGACUGCCGGGGAAACCCCGGAGGAAGGAGGGGAUGACGUCAAGUCAGCAUGGCCCUUACGCCUGGGGCUGCAAACGCGCUACAAUGCGUGGUACAGCGGGCUGCGAGACCGCAAGGUGGAGCGAAUCCCGAAAAACCACGCUCAGUUCGGAUUGGGGUCUGCAACUCGACCCCAUGAAGUCGGAGUCGCUAGUAAUGGCAGAUCAGCAUGCUGCCGUGAAUGCGUUCCCGGGCCUUGUACACACCGCCCGU